RNAcentral lists this small RNA (125 nucleotides) under Marmota monax (woodchuck). Lineage: Eukaryota; Metazoa; Chordata; Mammalia; Rodentia; Sciuridae. The record is from RNAcentral.
GCCAGGUGCAGUAGUGCACGCCUGUAAUCCCAGCAGCUCGGGAGGCUGAGACAAGAGGAUCAAGAGUUCAAAGCCAGCAUUAGCAAUGGCAAGACACUAAGCAACUCAGUGAGACCCUGUCUCUA